UCCCUGGUGGUCCAGUGGUUAAAACUCUGCACUUCCACUGCAUGGGGCACAGGUUCAAUCCCUGGUCAGGGAA
RNAcentral lists this transfer RNA (73 nucleotides) under Ovis aries (sheep). It matches the Rfam family "tRNA". From Rfam's summary of the family: Transfer RNA (tRNA) molecules are approximately 80 nucleotides in length. Their secondary structure includes four short double-helical elements and three loops (D, anti-codon, and T loops). The record is from Rfam by way of RNAcentral. Lineage: Eukaryota; Metazoa; Chordata; Mammalia; Artiodactyla; Bovidae.